GUCGCAUGUUCCCGGGCGCAAUGGCGGCCGCGGGAAUUCGAUUAUUACCGCGGCUGCUGGCACAGAGUUAGCCGGUGCUUAUUCUGUCGGUAACGUCAAAACAGCAAAGUAUUAAUUUACUGCCCUUCCUCCCAACUUAAAGUGCUUUACAAUCCGAAGACCUUCUUCACACACGCGGCAUGGCUGGAUCAGGCUUUCGCCCAUUGUCCAAUAUUCCCCACUGCUGCCUCCCGUAGGAGUCUGGACCGUGUCUCAGUUCCAGUGUGACUGAUCAUCCUCUCAGACCAGUUACGGAUCGUCGCCUUGGUGAGCCAUUACCCCACCAACUAGCUAAUCCGACCUAGGCUCAUCUGAUAGCGCAAGGCCCGAAGGUCCCCUGCUUUCUCCCGUAGGACGUAUGCGGUAUUAGCGUCCGUUUCCGAACGUUAUCCCCCACUACCAGGCAGAUUCCUAGGCAUUACUCACCCGUCCGCCGCUCUCAAGAGAAGCAAGCUUCUCUCUACCGCUCGACUUGCAUGUGUUAGGCCUGCCGCCAGCGUUCAAUCUGAGCCAUGAUCAAACUCUAAUCACUAGUGAAUUCGCGGCCGCCUGCAGGUCGACCAUAUGGGAGAGCCCCAACGCGUUGGA
Molecule: ribosomal RNA, 627 nt
Filed under: uncultured Gammaproteobacteria bacterium
Lineage: Bacteria; Pseudomonadati; Pseudomonadota; Gammaproteobacteria
Description: partial 16S ribosomal RNA
Source: RNAcentral